UGUUAAUCGGUGUCUAUGCUGCUGAUGCUCUCCUGAGCUUCACGGAUUGUGUUCAGAGAUGCAAAUCAGAGAUUCUUCCAGGGGAAAUCUCUGGUUUGAGAGUAAUUUGCAUAGAGAAGGAGAUUUCUGAGUUUGUGAGUGGAAAUGGGAGUAAAGAGAAAAUGAGAUUGAAGUUUGAGGAAGUUUUUGGGAUGGUUCAGCAAUGUUCAGGGCCUGGUAUGGUUGUGAAUUAUGGAAAUUGGAGCGAUUUUCUCACUGAAGUAGAAGAAGAAGAAGAAGA
RNAcentral lists this unclassified non-coding RNA (280 nucleotides) under Hevea brasiliensis (rubber tree). The record is from RNAcentral. Lineage: Eukaryota; Viridiplantae; Streptophyta; Magnoliopsida; Malpighiales; Euphorbiaceae.